GAGCAAUGAUGAUUGCAGCGCUCAAGUGAAUAUAUAGGGUUCCUUACAAUCAUCUGAUUUUCAGACGAAAAGAUAGCGUUUCAGAGCUU
Hibiscus syriacus is the source of this 89-nucleotide small nucleolar RNA. RefSeq annotates it as small nucleolar RNA snoR114. The record is from RefSeq and is a predicted model, not a curated record. The transcript has a single exon. Lineage: Eukaryota; Viridiplantae; Streptophyta; Magnoliopsida; Malvales; Malvaceae.